This 253-nucleotide ribosomal RNA is filed under the name uncultured bacterium. RNAcentral's name for it is "partial 16S ribosomal RNA". It matches the Rfam family "Bacterial small subunit ribosomal RNA", at positions 524 to 776 of the family's 1533-position model. The record is from RNAcentral.
UACAGAGGUCCCAAGCGUUGUUCGGAUUCACUGGGCGUAAAGAGCUCGUAGGCGGUUCGUCACGUCGGCUGUGAAAACCUGAGGCUCAACCUCAGGCCUGCAGUCGAUACGGGCGGGCUUGAGUACUGCAGGGGAGACUGGAAUUCCUGGUGUAGCGGUGAAAUGCGCAGAUAUCAGGAGGAACACCGGUGGCGAAGGCGGGUCUCUGGGCAGUAACUGACGCUGAGGAGCGAAAGCGUGGGGAGCGAACAGG